CCCCAAAAUGCCCAAAGUUUUCAAUAAGCAAUCCGUGUUAAGGCAAAAAUGAAGAUGAUUGAAGAAACCCACAACACACAGGCGGCCGAGGCCCCGAGAAAGUUGCCCCAACGCCACACCAAGAACACACAGAUAGCAGAGGCUCAGCUCAAGGGUUUCUUUCAAAUGGGGUGUAAAAGGAAGUGUAGAAGAUAAGCACGCCAUCUGAAAACGAAAGCAAGAAUGACAGAAUCGAAAAGGAAAACAAAACCCAUCUCAUAUUUGAGGUACCCUUUGAUGUGUCCUUUAUCCUGAACAACCUUCCAAGCAAAGCUAGCUGGUCAUACGAGUCCGUACAAUGAUUUGUCUCUUGAGUUCCUUUCUUUUCUUUUCCUUCCUAUGGAGAAAUGCUUGGUUCCCAUUUCCUCUUUGUUGGGAGUUUCUUAGCCAUUGAUAUCUUAGCAACAACAGUUUGAGAACGGUGUUAUUACAAUCACAAAGCCAUGCAGGUUGGAAGAAACACGAGAAUCUUGAAGUUUAUGGAGAAGUUUAUGGAGGAGAAGAAUCGCACCGCCCCAAUCGAGAAGAAUCACGCUUGUGGGCGUGGCCCAGGGAUUCUCGUCUUCUUUCACUGGACAAAAUCGCUUAUUGUUCGGUCCAGGCACGACCAGACCAAUGCACCCUUUCAUUUCUUUGUCCCUGUGAAUGAUCGUCAACCAAGUAACGAACGAAGUCGACCAUUUUUUGUUGCA
Cucurbita maxima (winter squash) is the source of this 731-nucleotide RNA transcript. RefSeq lists it as uncharacterized. NCBI's taxonomy places the organism in Eukaryota, Viridiplantae, Streptophyta, Magnoliopsida, Cucurbitales, Cucurbitaceae. The record is from RefSeq and is a predicted model, not a curated record. The transcript has 5 exons.